Molecule: ribosomal RNA, 968 nt
Filed under: Staphylococcus aureus
Lineage: Bacteria; Bacillati; Bacillota; Bacilli; Caryophanales; Staphylococcaceae
Description: partial 23S ribosomal RNA
Rfam family: Bacterial large subunit ribosomal RNA
Source: RNAcentral
CACUGCCGAGAAAAGCCUCUAGAUAGAAAAUAGGUGCCCGUACCGCAAACCGACACAGGUAGUCAAGAUGAGAAUUCUAAGGUGAGCGAGCGAACUCUCGUUAAGGAACUCGGCAAAAUGACCCCGUAACUUCGGGAGAAGGGGUGCUCUUUAGGGUUAACGCCCAGAAGAGCCGCAGUGAAUAGGCCCAAGCGACUGUUUAUCAAAAACACAGGUCUCUGCUAAACCGUAAGGUGAUGUAUAGGGGCUGACGCCUGCCCGGUGCUGGAAGGUUAAGAGGAGUGGUUAGCUUCUGCGAAGCUACGAAUCGAAGCCCCAGUAAACGGCGGCCGUAACUAUAACGGUCCUAAGGUAGCGAAAUUCCUUGUCGGGUAAGUUCCGACCCGCACGAAAGGCGUAACGAUUUGGGCACUGUCUCAACGAGAGACUCGGUGAAAUCAUAGUACCUGUGAAGAUGCAGGUUACCCGCGACAGGACGGAAAGACCCCGUGGAGCUUUACUGUAGCCUGAUAUUGAAAUUCGGCACAGCUUGUACAGGAUAGGUAGGAGCCUUUGAAACGUGAGCGCUAGCUUACGUGGAGGCGCUGGUGGGAUACUACCCUAGCUGUGUUGGCUUUCUAACCCGCACCACUUAUCGUGGUGGGAGACAGUGUCAGGCGGGCAGUUUGACUGGGGCGGUCGCCUCCUAAAAGGUAACGGAGGCGCUCAAAGGUUCCCUCAGAAUGGUUGGAAAUCAUUCAUAGAGUGUAAAGGCAUAAGGGAGCUUGACUGCGAGACCUACAAGUCGAGCAGGGUCGAAAGACGGACUUAGUGAUCCGGUGGUUCCGCAUGGAAGGGCCAUCGCUCAACGGAUAAAAGCUACCCCGGGGAUAACAGGCUUAUCUCCCCCAAGAGUUCACAUCGACGGGGAGGUUUGGCACCUCGAUGUCGGCUCAUCGCAUCCUGGGGCUGUAGUCGGUCCCAAGGGU